GAACCAGGAAGUCCUUCCCCUCCCACAAACUCUCUUCUGAGGAAACGAAACUGAUCUGAGUCUCUGUCUCGUCUGUCUGUGUGAGAGGGAACAACUGUCCAAAUGGCUGAGCAGGAAGUUCUGCUGGACCAGGACCAGUUCUGUUGUUCUGUCUGUCUGGAUCUACUGAGGGAGCCGGUCACUACUGCCUGUGGACACAGUUACUGUAGGAGCUGUAUUGAGGACUGCUGGGAUCAGGAUGUUCUGAAAGGGGUCUAUAGCUGUCCUCAGUGCAGAGAGACCUUCACUCCAAGGCCGAAUCUGAGGAAAAAUAACAUGUUGGCUGAGAUGGUGGAGAAACUGAGGAAGACAGGACUCCAGGCUGCUCCCCGUCCUGCUCUGUGCUAUGCUGGACCUGGAGAUGUGGCGUGUGAUUUCUGCACUGGGACUAGAAAGCAGAAAGCUCUCAUGUCCUGUCUGGCGUGUCUGGCCUCUUACUGUGAGACUCACCUCCAACCUCACUAUGAAUUUCCUGGUUUCAAGAAGCACAAGCUGGUCAAAGCCACCGCUCAACUACAGGAGAAGAUCUGCUCUCAUCAUGACAAACUGCUGGAGGUUUUCUGUCGUACUGAUCAGCAGUGUAUCUGUAUGCUGUGUACAAUGGAUGAACAUAAAGGCCAUGAUACAGUGUCAGCUGCAGCAGAGAGGACUGAGAAACAGAGGCAGCUGGGGACGAGUCAGCAAAAGGUCAAGCAGAGAUUCCAGAAGAGAGAGAAGGAGCUGAAGGAGCUCCAACAGGCUGUGGAGUCUUUCAAGAACUGCCUGUUGGGCUGUUGUUGAGCGGCUGGUAUCACCCUUCUCCCAUUAUCCCCCACGUUGUUCCUCCUCUGCUUCUGGGAGGAACCAGGCGGGGCCACAGAGCAGACUCCCCCAUCUCAUCCCACCAACUCUGUCAGUCCAGCAGGCCCCACAAUGCAGCCUCCACACCACUGCAGUAACAGCCACAUCUUCCCAUCACAAAGCUUCAGUACUAUCUCAAUGUGUUGAUUUACCAUCCAGGAUCCUGUGUUAACGUCAAUGUGAAACAGCAUUGACCCGUGAUCACCACCAACCAGGGCUCCACAGCGGUAUCCUUCGAUGUCCAGGCUUCGCUCAAGAUCAACUGAAGGAGAUUUGGAAGGA
Non-coding RNA from Salmo salar (Atlantic salmon), 1161 nucleotides. NCBI's taxonomy places the organism in Eukaryota, Metazoa, Chordata, Actinopteri, Salmoniformes, Salmonidae. The record is from RefSeq and is a predicted model, not a curated record.